UACGUAGGGGGCAAGCGUUGUCCGGAUUUAUUGGGCGUAAAGAGCGUGUAGGCGGCCGUACAGGUCAGCUGUGAAAACUCGAGGCUCAACCUCGAGACGUCGGUUGAAACCGUACGGCUAGAGUCCGGAAGAGGAGAGUGGAAUUCCCGGUGUAGCGGUGAAAUGCGCAGAUAUCGGGAAGAACACCCGUGGCGAAGGCGGCUCACUGGACCACAACUGACGCUGAUGCGCGAAAGCUAGGGGAGCAAACAGG
Molecule: ribosomal RNA, 253 nt
Filed under: uncultured bacterium
Lineage: Bacteria
Description: partial 16S ribosomal RNA
Rfam family: Bacterial small subunit ribosomal RNA
Source: RNAcentral